RNAcentral lists this small RNA (176 nucleotides) under Arabidopsis thaliana (thale cress). RNAcentral describes it as "ATSL088540". Lineage: Eukaryota; Viridiplantae; Streptophyta; Magnoliopsida; Brassicales; Brassicaceae. The record is from RNAcentral.
UUCUCUUAUAUUGAUAUUUAUGUAAUAAAUCACUGAGGGUGAAGAAUACGUAAGGAGCUCCAUCAUCAAAUUCUUAGGUUUCUGGAAUGCAACACUACCCUCUGUUAAAUUGAUUUAAGAGAAGCGUUGUUUAUGAAUUCUGUAUACGAUGCAUUGUUGAGAAUGUUGUUAAGAAA